This 396-nucleotide ribosomal RNA is filed under the name uncultured fungus. RNAcentral's name for it is "eukaryotic LSU rRNA". The stretch from base 1 to 71 matches the Rfam family "5.8S ribosomal RNA", at positions 84 to 154 of the family's 154-position model. Lineage: Eukaryota; Fungi. The record is from RNAcentral.
GUGAAUCAUCGAAUCUUUGAACGCAUAUUGCGCUCUUUGGUAUUCCGAAGAGCAUGCUUGCUUGAGUAUCAGUAAACACCUCAAAACUCUUGAUCUUUUUCAAGCGUUUUGGACUUGAGCAAACCCAACGCCUUUUCUUUUAAGAUCUGUUGCGGCGGGUUGCUUGAAAUGCAGGUGCAGCUGGACAAUCUCCUGAGCUAAAAGCAUAUUUAUUUAGUCCCGUCAAACGGAUUAUUACUUUUUGCUGCAGCUAACAUAAAGGGAGUUUUGACCAUUAUGGCUGACUGAUGCAGGAUUUCACAGAGAAAAGGCCGGCAACGGUUUUGUCUCUGUCAAACUCGAUCUCAAAUCAAGUAAGACUACCCGCUGAACUUAAGCAUAUCAAUAAGCGGAGGA